UGAGGAAUAUUGGUCAAUGGGCGAGAGCCUGAACCAGCCAAGUAGCGUGCAGGAUGACGGCCCUAUGGGUUGUAAACUGCUUUUAUAUGGGAAUAAAGUGAGGGACGUGUCCCUUAUUGCAUGUACCAUACGAAUAAGGACCGGCUAAUUCCGUGCCAGCAGCCGCGGUAAUACGGAAGGUCCAGGCGUUAUCCGGAUUUAUUGGGUUUAAAGGGAGCGUAGGCUGUUUGUUAAGCGUGUUGUGAAAUGUAAGAGCUCAACUUUUAGAUUGCAGCGCGAACUGGCAGACUUGAGUGCGCACAACGUAGGCGGAAUUCAUGGUGUAGCGGUGAAAUGCUUAGAUAUCAUGACGAACUCCGAUUGCGAAGGCAGCUUACGGGAGCGCAACUGACGCUAAAGCUCGAAGGUGCGAGUAUCGAACAGG
Molecule: ribosomal RNA, 424 nt
Filed under: Verrucomicrobiota bacterium
Lineage: Bacteria; Pseudomonadati; Verrucomicrobiota
Description: Verrucomicrobia bacterium partial 16S ribosomal RNA
Rfam family: Bacterial small subunit ribosomal RNA
Source: RNAcentral